This 448-nucleotide ribosomal RNA is filed under the name uncultured bacterium. Its description in RNAcentral is "partial 16S ribosomal RNA". It matches the Rfam family "Bacterial small subunit ribosomal RNA", at positions 29 to 523 of the family's 1533-position model. The record is from RNAcentral.
AACGAACGCUGGCGGCAGGCUUAACACAUGCAAGUCGAUCGCUGUCUUCGGACAGAGAGGCGCACGGGUGAGUAACACGUGGGAACAUGCCCUUAAGUACGGAAUAACACAUGGAAACGUGUGCUAAUACCGUAUACGCCCUACGGGGGAAAGAUUUAUCGCUUAAGGAUUGGCCCGCGUCCGAUUAGCUAGUUGGUGAGGUAAUGGCUCACCAAGGCGACGAUCGGUAGCUGGUUUGAGAGAAUGAUCAGCCACACUGGGACUGAGACACGGCCCAGACUCCUACGGGAGGCAGCAGUGGGGAAUAUUGGACAAUGGGCGAAAGUCUGAUCCAGCCAUGCCACGUGAGUGAAGAGGCCUUCGGGUUGUAAAGCUCUUUCAGAUGUGAAGAUGAUGACGGUAGCAUCAGAAGAAGCCCCGGCUAACUUCGUGCCAGCCGCCGCAGUAA